Long non-coding RNA from Hibiscus syriacus, 303 nucleotides. RefSeq lists it as uncharacterized. The record is from RefSeq and is a predicted model, not a curated record. NCBI's taxonomy places the organism in Eukaryota, Viridiplantae, Streptophyta, Magnoliopsida, Malvales, Malvaceae. The transcript has 2 exons.
AAAGAUCUGUCUGCUGAGUGCUGCCAUUGAAGAAACUUGAAGUAUGGAACCAACUCCUAGUGCUACCUCAACGGGUUCAAAUACAAACACAACCAACAAAUUAACUGAUCCAGCUAGGAAAUAUUCUACGCAAGAGCCUAGCAAUAGAAACAAUUUUCGUUGCCAUUUUUGUUCUAAAGUAGUGAAGGGUGGUGUGUAUCGAAUGAAAUGGCAUUUCAUUGGUGGUUUUCCGGAUGUUACUAGUUGCCGAAACUGUCCAGAGCAUGUAAAGGAAGAGGUGAGGUCUUUCAUGCAACAAAAAAG